RNAcentral lists this ribosomal RNA (637 nucleotides) under uncultured fungus. RNAcentral describes it as "eukaryotic LSU rRNA". It matches the Rfam family "Eukaryotic large subunit ribosomal RNA", at positions 24 to 664 of the family's 3401-position model. Lineage: Eukaryota; Fungi. The record is from RNAcentral.
CCCGCUGAACUUAAGCAUAUCAAUAAGCGGAGGAAAAGAAACUAACAAGGAUUCCCCUAGUAACUGCGAGUGAAGCGGGAAGAGCUCAAAUUUGAAAUCUGGCAGUUGUUGACUGUCCGAGUUGUAAUCUAGAGAAGUGUUACCAGUGCAGGACCGUGUACAAGUUUCCUGGAAUGGGGCAUCAUAGAGGGUGAGAAUCCCGUCUUUGGCACGGACUACCUGUACAUCAUGGUGCGCUCUCAAAGAGUCGAGUUGUUUGGGAAUGCAGCUCAAAAUGGGUGGUAAAUGCCAUCUAAAGCUAAAUAUUGGCGAGAGACCGAUAGCGAACAAGUACCGUGAGGGAAAGAUGAAAAGAACUUUGGAAAGAGAGUUAAACAGUACGUGAAAUUGCUGAAAGGGAAACGCUUGAAGUCAGUCACGUUGGCUAGAAAUCAGCCUUGCUCUUGCUUGGUGUACUUUCUGGUUGAUGGGUCAGCAUCAAUUUUGACCAUUGGAUAAAGGUCAUUGGGAAUACUCCCUGUGUCGUAAUACAGUGGUUGGGAUUGAGGAAUUCAGCACGCCGCAAGGCAGGGUUUCGACCACAUUCGUGCUUAGGAUGCUGGCAUAAUGGCUUUAAUCGACCCGUCUUGAAACACGG